UUUAUGGAGAGUUUGAUCCUGGCUCAGGAUGAACGCUGGCGGCGUGCCUAAUACAUGCAAGUCGAGCGAACGGACGAGAAGCUUGCUUCUCUGAUGUUAGCGGCGGACGGGUGAGUAACACGUGGAUAACCUACCUAUAAGACUGGGAUAACUUCGGGAAANAGNAGNNAAUACCGGAUAAUAUUUUGAACCGCAUGGUUCAAAAGUGAAAGACGGUCUUGCUGUCACUUAUAGAUGGAUCCGCGCUGCAUUAGCUAGUUGGUAAGGUAACGGCUUACCAAGGCAACGAUGCAUAGCCGACCUGAGAGGGUGAUCGGCCACACUGGAACUGAGACACGGUCCAGACUCCUACGGGAGGCAGCAGUAGGGAAUCUUCCGCAAUGGGCGAAAGCCUGACGGAGCAACGCCGCGUGAGUGAUGAAGGUCUUCGGAUCGUAAAACUCUGUUAUUAGGGAAGAACAUAUGUGUAAGUAACUGUGCACAUCUUGACGGUACCUAAUCAGAAAGCCACGGCUAACUACGUGCCAGCAGCCGCGGUAAUACGUAGGUGGCAAGCGUUAUCCGGAAUUAUUGGGCGUAAAGCGCGCGUAGGCGGUUUUUUAAGUCUGAUGUGAAAGCCCACGGCUCAACCGUGGAGGGUCAUUGGAAACUGGAAAACUUGAGUGCAGAAGAGGAAAGUGGAAUUCCAUGUGUAGCGGUGAAAUGCGCAGAGAUAUGGAGGAACACCAGUGGCGAAGGCGACUUUCUGGUCUGUAACUGACGCUGAUGUGCGAAAGCGUGGGGAUCAAACAGGAUUAGAUACCCUGGUAGUCCACGCCGUAAACGAUGAGUGCUAAGUGUUAGGGNGNUNCCCNCCCCUUAGUGCUGCAGCUAACGCAUUAAGCACUCCGCCUGGGGAGUACGACCGCAAGGUUGAAACUCAAAGGAAUUGACGGGGACCCGCACAAGCGGUGGAGCAUGUGGUUUAAUUCGAAGCAACGCGAAGAACCUUACCAAAUCUUGACAUCCUUUGACAACUCUAGAGAUAGAGCCUUCCCCUUCGGGGGACAAAGUGACAGGUGGUGCAUGGUUGUCGUCAGCUCGUGUCGUGAGAUGUUGGGUUAAGUCCCGCAACGAGCGCAACCCUUAAGCUUAGUUGCCAUCAUUAAGUUGGGCACUCUAAGUUGACUGCCGGUGACAAACCGGAGGAAGGUGGGGAUGACGUCAAAUCAUCAUGCCCCUUAUGAUUUGGGCUACACACGUGCUACAAUGGACAAUACAAAGGGCAGCGAAACCGCGAGGUCAAGCAAAUCCCAUAAAGUUGUUCUCAGUUCGGAUUGUAGUCUGCAACUCGACUACAUGAAGCUGGAAUCGCUAGUAAUCGUAGAUCAGCAUGCUACGGUGAAUACGUUCCCGGGUCUUGUACACACCGCCCGUCACACCACGAGAGUUUGUAACACCCGAAGCCGGUGGAGUAACCUUUUAGGAGCUAGCCGUCGAAGGUGGGACAAAUGAUUGGGGUGAAGUCGUAACAAGGUAGCCGUAUCGGAAGGUGCGGCUGGAUCACCUCCUUU
Molecule: ribosomal RNA, 1553 nt
Filed under: Staphylococcus aureus
Lineage: Bacteria; Bacillati; Bacillota; Bacilli; Caryophanales; Staphylococcaceae
Description: 16S ribosomal RNA
Rfam family: Bacterial small subunit ribosomal RNA
Source: RNAcentral